AUGAACGCUGGCGGCGUGCCUCAUACAUGCAAGUCGAGCGAACAGACGAGGAGCUUGCUCCUCUGACGUUAGCGGCGGACGGGUGAGUAACACGUGGAUAACCUACCUAUAAGACUGGGAUAACUUCGGGAAACCGGAGCUAAUACCGGAUAAUAUAUUGAACCGCAUGGUUCAAUAGUGAAAGACGGUUUUGCUGUCACUUAUAGAUGGAUCCGCGCCGCAUUAGCUAGUUGGUAAGGUAACGGCUUACCAAGGCAACGAUGCGUAGCCGACCUGAGAGGGUGAUCGGCCACACUGGAACUGAGACACGGUCCAGACUCCUACGGGAGGCAGCAGUAGGGAAUCUUCCGCAAUGGGCGAAAGCCUGACGGAGCAACGCCGCGUGAGUGAUGAAGGUCUUCGGAUCGUAAAGCUCUGUUAUUAGGGAAGAACAAAUGUGUAAGUAACUAUGCACGUCUUGACGGUACCUAAUCAGAAAGCCCCGGCUAACUACGUG
Molecule: ribosomal RNA, 496 nt
Filed under: uncultured bacterium
Lineage: Bacteria
Description: partial 16S ribosomal RNA
Rfam family: Bacterial small subunit ribosomal RNA
Source: RNAcentral